Long non-coding RNA from Harmonia axyridis, 2992 nucleotides. RefSeq lists it as uncharacterized. Lineage: Eukaryota; Metazoa; Arthropoda; Insecta; Coleoptera; Coccinellidae. The transcript has 3 exons. The record is from RefSeq and is a predicted model, not a curated record.
AAAAUGUUUGCUGACUUGCUCAUUAAAUAUAAAUAUUUUGAAAAUAGCAAAGUACCUGCCAGAAAAGCAAUGAAUUCACUUUCAAAACAGUUAGUUAGUAGAUCCUUCAAUUUCCAGAAAAUUAAAUAAGGGUAUAUAUCCAAUGGAUGUGGUUGAUUUGAGACUCCCAAAGGAUGAUAUCAAAGAUAUGAACAUUCGUAAAGCUGUUAACUGCUUGGUGAAGUUCGAAAAGAAAUUGCUCAUAGGAAAACAUGAUGUAGGUGAAAAAGAACAGAAAAAAGAAAACUUGAGAAUAUAUCUCAAACUACCUGUUCAGAAAAUGGAAGUUUACAGAAGGUAGAACCGUUUCUUAAUAUUAAUAAAUUUCCAAAGAAUGAAGAAGAUAAGCCUAUAAUAGAUAUGUCGAGCAUACCCAAAAGUAUCUGAGAAUGGGGAUUUCCUUCAAUGAAGAUCCAGCCACCAGUAAAUUGGCAUUACCGAAAUCCUUUUCAUCCGAAACUGAAAAAAUUUCCUGAAUUUCUUAUUGAGCAAUUUACUGGACUCUGGAGUGUUUCCAUUAGCAAGUGCAAUUUAUCCCAGCAACCAAAAACAAAAUCCAUAAAAACAAUUGAUAGUGAAAAAAGGUAGAUAAAAUCAUUUGAAAUGGCAAUAAGAGACUUGGUAAGCAUCAGAUGUUGGAAAUCAAGGCUGAGACACCCAUAAAUCCUUUUUACAAGAACUUUUAUUUUUAAACUAUAUUAGGAAGGGACUACGGAUUUGGAGGAGCUGCAACAGUUAUCCAAGACGUUCACAAAGAGGAAGAUGAAGUUAGGGUUCACUCAAGGAGACGUGGGCUUAGCUAGGGGGAAAUUAUUCGGUACAAAUUUUUCGCAAACAAUAUUCAUCUUCGAACCUCUAGAACUUGGCUUAAAGAACAUGAGCAAACUGAAGCUUCUCCACCAAAAAUGGCACAAUGACCAAUCCAGGAGCUCUGAGCAACCCUCUGACGAAACCAGAAUCCAUUGGAAGAUGUCAAAAAAACAGAUUCAUUAGAAAUUAGCUUUAGAGAAAGCGUUCAUUCAGAACCUAAAGCCUACAUCGAAAGAAAUUACAAUUUUGGAGAACAAGCUUUUAAAGUUUCACUUCCUGCAGAUGAAAACAUUGUCGAAACGUUCUUUAAACGGUUGUCAAGAUUCUGCGGAUUAGAGAGUGGUUCUUAUUUAACUUCUGUAGAAUACUAUGCUAACCGUGAACUCUAAAUAAGUAGGUACUUCAUAUGCGGAGAUAUGGAAUUUUCACAAUAUUGGGUUAUUUUUGAGAUCCCACCUCAUAAAAUGACCGAGAAUUCCUUAAUAUGGAAGAGAAAAAGGUUACCAAUGACAAAAUAUUGAGAGAGUUGGAUGAAAAAUUUUCACCUGUUACUUAGUCGAAACCAGAUAAAUUAAGAGCAACAUACUGGCACUUUGAAGAAGAAGAAAAAAGUAAGGAUUUUAGAACCAAGAACGGCGCAGAACCUUAGUAUAGACCACAUAUCAUUGGGAUGAGCCUCUCAAGGAAGGAGAAUAUGAAUUAUGAAGUAACAAUCUCAUCGAAAUCCUAUAUGGAAAAAUUGAAAAAAAAAUUCUGAAAAACCUUCUAUGAACCUUCAACAAUUGAUUGACAACAGUCUGAUCAAAUUCAAGCAUCCGAAGGAACUCAAAAAAAGUGAUCAAUGUUCAACACUUGAAAGAACAAAGAAGGUUAAGAUAAGUAGGUACUAGUCUUGACCAAUCACAAAUAUUUGAUGAAUACCAUUUAUUGAUUUUGAGCUCACUCACUAUAGUAUUUGGUGGUAGCAAGAAACCUGAUAAGCCAUUUUUAGAAUGUGAGGCUAGAACACCCAUUAAUCCUUUUUAUAAGAAGAACAGACUCCAUUAAUAGAACAUGUUCCAUGAAUGUCUCGACUUGAUCUGGUUGUUAUGAAUUGAAGGAUAUAUCUGACUUUCAAUGAAUUUUGUAAAUAUCAUUAUUCAUCUCUAAUUUUUUUUUACUUUGAAUGAAGGCAUCGACUACCAUAGUAUUAGCCUGUGUUAAAGUAAAAAUAUACAAAAAGGAAAUGAGUUCUCGAACACUAAAGGCACUCAACAAUUAGGAUUCGGAAAAAGCCAUCGACCCACUAAUAAAUCCUGGGACAGACAAACAAAUAAAUGAGUAUAUAAAUAUAUAACUAUAUAAAUGAAUGAAUAUGAAUUCUCUAAUUAAUCAAAAUUACAUGUUCACUUGUUGAUUAGUCUUGAACCAAGACUACUUAACUAGACUUUUCCACAUGAGUAUGGUCAUAACCGAAUAUGAUUCGUCUGAUUUUCAUAUUAUUGAUUAUUAUCCUCUCAUAAUUGGGUGAAUUUGAGUAAGGUGAACCUGAGUAUUGAUGUUUCAAUAUAAUUUAUAUCGAUUUGAUACUUUAUGCAUAGUUUUACGCUUAGUAAUUCUUUAUGGGUAUUUUAUUCCAAAUGUAAUUUGUAAAUAUAUAAGGGAAGAAUAAGGAAGAAGUGCUGUGGCGACGCUAGCUUUCAGAAAGAGGGGUGUCCAAGAGGGGGCCGGAUUUUUUUUUGGGGGGGCCAAAGUUAAGAGAAACUAUAGUUCUGCUAGUCUCUAAAGCCUCAGUAUGUCAAAUUUUAGGGGGGCGGCAGCAGAAUUUCAGGGGCGGCCCGGGUCCCCCAUGUUCCCCUCCUAGCGUCGUCACUGAAGAAGUAGUCAGUUCAUCCCACUCAAGAAGAAAGAAAGACAACAUAGAUCAACAACAAGAAUUUCCGGUACUAUUCAUUGAAUGCAAAAAGUUGAGUUAGGGCAAGUUUCUGAGGAUGAAAUUGUUACUUCAGAAAGUUAGCCUUCAGAUCCAAGAGCUGGUAGGGUUAACGUAGAUCUUCCUCAAAUGAAAUUCAGCCUUAAAAUGAUUGCUGACUUGCUCAUUAAAUAUAAAUAUUUUGAAAAUAGCAAAGUACCUGCUAGAGAAGCAAUGAAUUUACUUUCAAAA